This 30-nucleotide non-coding RNA is filed under the name Homo sapiens (human). The record is from RNAcentral. Lineage: Eukaryota; Metazoa; Chordata; Mammalia; Primates; Hominidae.
UGUCUACAUACAAUCAGCAGCUAUGGCUGA